Pelobates cultripes (western spadefoot toad) is the source of this 220-nucleotide non-coding RNA. The record is from the annotation of a GenBank genome assembly. NCBI's taxonomy places the organism in Eukaryota, Metazoa, Chordata, Amphibia, Anura, Pelobatidae.
UAGCCAUUGGAGCUGAAGGAUCUUCAGAUUAUAUUUACUUGGCAAUGUAAACAAUGCUGUAUUUACUAAAUUGCAAUGCUUUAAGUUGCAGGGUUGAAAAGACAGGGGCAUGGCAUUGAAAUGAAGUGGUCUGGGUGCCUACUGAGUCCCUUUAAUAUACAGGAUACAUUUGUAAAACCAGAAGCUGGAAGCAACAUAGGCAGAGGGGUCAAUACCUGCC